AGAGUUUGAUCCUGGCUCAGAUUGAACGCUGGCGGCAUGCCUUACACAUGCAAGUCGAACGGCAGCAUAGGAGCUUGCUCCUGAUGGCGAGUGGCGAACGGGUGAGUAAUAUAUCGGAACGUGCCCUAGAGUGGGGGAUAACUAGUCGAAAGACUAGCUAAUACCGCAUACGAUCUACGGAUGAAAGUGGGGGAUCGCAAGACCUCAUGCUCCUGGAGCGGCCGAUAUCUGAUUAGCUAGUUGGUGGGGUAAAAGCCUACCAAGGCAACGAUCAGUAGCUGGUCUGAGAGGACGACCAGCCACACUGGGACUGAGACACGGCCCAGACUCCUACGGGAGGCAGCAGAAGGG
RNAcentral lists this ribosomal RNA (351 nucleotides) under uncultured Herbaspirillum sp. RNAcentral describes it as "bacterial SSU rRNA". It matches the Rfam family "Bacterial small subunit ribosomal RNA", at positions 8 to 359 of the family's 1533-position model. Lineage: Bacteria; Pseudomonadati; Pseudomonadota; Betaproteobacteria; Burkholderiales; Oxalobacteraceae. The record is from RNAcentral.